This 602-nucleotide unclassified non-coding RNA is filed under the name Hevea brasiliensis (rubber tree). Lineage: Eukaryota; Viridiplantae; Streptophyta; Magnoliopsida; Malpighiales; Euphorbiaceae. The record is from RNAcentral.
GAAAUACUGCUCUUAUAAGCCAAUACUAUUAUGGCUGUCUUUUCCAUGAGCUGCUAUCGUUUCAGCUUGCUGAUCGACGUCCACCUGCUGAGAGAGAAAACGAGAAGUUGAAAUCACCCAAGAUGAUUGGCUUUCCUAGCUCUGUCAACUCAGUACUCAAUCAUGCAGAGUUAUCUGUUACUGAUUCAGACAAUGCUCUGAUUCACAUGGAUGUGGAUCAAAGUUUUUUACCUAUACCAACUCCUGUCAAGGCAGCCAUCUUUGAGAGUUUUGUGAGACAGAACAUUGCAGAGUCAGAAAUUGAUGUCACAGGCAACAUUAGACAGCUAAUUGAGAGUAGUUAUGGUUUCUCAACGAACAGCAAGACGGAAUUCAUAUAUGCUGACUGCCCUCUAGCUCUUUUUAGUAAAUUGGUACUUUGUUGCAUCCAUGAAGGUGGGACUCUAUGCUUCCCAGCUGGCUCAAACGGUAGUUAUGUGUCUGCUGCAAAAUUUGUGAAAGCAAAUAUAGCUUAUAUCCCUACGAACCCAGAGGAUGGGUUCAAAUUGACACAGAAAACAGUUGAAAGUUUUUUGAAGACCAUCGACAGACCUUGGAUUUUU